This 5356-nucleotide long non-coding RNA is filed under the name Homo sapiens (human). RNAcentral describes it as "HSALNT0331618". Lineage: Eukaryota; Metazoa; Chordata; Mammalia; Primates; Hominidae. The record is from RNAcentral.
UGUGCCUGUGUAUGUGCACAUAAACAGUGUCUUUGAGGGCUUGGCAAUCUGUGUUGAUGUUAUUGAAGCUCUGCACCUGACUUCUGGUCACUUUUCUGUUACUGACCAGCUAAAUAACUUUGAGUAAGUCAUUGAACUUAUUUGGACACUAGUUCCAUCAACUGUUAGAUAUGAGGAUGGGAAUGGAUUGUCUCAAAGAUCCUUUUGAGUUCAAAAAGUCUAUGAUACCAGUGAGAAUGUUCCAAAGCCUUAAUGACACCUCACUGAAUGCAGCUUAAAAUGGCUGCAAGCUGACCAGACGAUUGCAUUCUCCAAGGUGAGCUGCCCUUCAUACCUCAUGCCCUUGAAUAAUGCAGCGUAAGUGUGUUUAUUGUGCCAGCUCUUCUUGUAGUUUUAUUCUAAUCCCUCGUCUCAGGCAACAUUUGUUUUGGCUGCAGUUCGAUACUUCCUCCUUCAGAGCUAUGCUUGGUUUUACCUCUAAUUCUGUGGCCCUCAGGGGCUGGUUGUACUGAUAAACUUUUACAAGUAAAAGGAGCUGUGGAGAUGACCUCCAGCUGGGGCUGAAGGCCUAUACAGCAGCACCUUCUUGCUGAAGCUAAGUGAUCCUCUUGGGGAGGAGGGUUGGGGGUCCAGGGCCCCUGAAGUCAGGAUUCCCCAGUGAGUUGGUCAAUGUGGACUUAGAUCUUGUUGAAAUAUCCAGAAGUAUUUCUAAGUAGAAUAUUUUUGAUCACAGAAACAAGGUAAAUAUUUUUGUCUUCCUUCAGUGGAGGACUUUGGAGCUCUCAGGUGGCUGCUCUCCAUCCCAGGCCUGGCUGUAGGAGGCUACCUGGGUGGGGUGCAGGCCCAUGCCUGGGGUCCUGGCUCCAGAGGCACCACAUGCCACUCAGUGAGGAUAAGAAUCCAUUCUGCAGCUUCUUUCAGCCCCACAUCAAUAAAUGGAGACAGUGGGAAGGGAGCUGUGCUACUUUGAAGGAUUUGGGGGCAGACUAAGAAGAAAACACAUGUGAAAGUGCUUUGUAAGGAUGAGUGCAUGGCGGGGCGACGAGGGGCGUUGGAGGCACAUGCAGCUGGGUAGGAGUUGCACUUUGGUCAUUGGCCAGUUAUGUGGCUUUGGGAACUGUUCAGACUUCUGGAUCUUGGCUUCCUUUUUUGUUAAGUAGGUGAUGAUAGGGAUCUCAUUGGGCUGCUGUGAGGAUGAGGUGUGUUUACAGUGCUUGGCAAAGAGUGGGGCUCCAUGCACAUAACUCCAUUUCCUCUACAUCUACAUUGCUCUGCAAACGAAGGGUGCUAUGACAAUAAACCCACCCCAAGGCCAAAGGAGGGGCGUGCUGGGGGUGGAGAGGGAUGGCUGGGAACUAACUAGCCGGCAUCAGCAAAGGAGGGAUUGUUUUGGUCUUUGUAGGAAAUUAGGAGGAUUGCCUUUCUCAUCUAUUACUUCCAAUGAGUUCUGAUGUUCUGGGGAAUCUUCUCUGAAUGAAUCCUGGUAUUGCUUCAUUUAUACUAUAACUCUGUAGUAUAACUAUAUCCUGUGUAAUCCAAGCCAAAGAUAGAGGGUUUGGGGACGACAGAUAUUUCAACAAUAGUCACUGAGGCAAGGAAUUGUGGAUUCUAGGAUGAGGCAGCAGGUGAAGGGCUUUGGUGCCCACACAGAGGAGAAGAGGGCAACUGGAGCGAGGAAAUGUCUUGCUGUCCUGCCGUUUAGCUCUGGAAGUGUCUCUUGGGACAAUCUUGGAGAAACGUCAACUGAAGUGCUAGUUUAGUAGCAGGGUAGCUGAGUCCUAGCAGUGUUUCGCAUUUCUCCAGUGAAAGCCCUAGAGGACUUGGAUGUCCCCAUCUCUAAAGACACCGGUGGCGGCAGAGGCCCAGCUUCUAAACACUCAGGGUCACACAGGCAUUGGUGCUUGGUAAACGUUUUCUUAUAUAAUUUCAAAGCCAUCUGUGACAUGGCUGUAUCAUCCCCAUUCUACUAGUGAGAAAACCAAUGCCAGGGGAUGGAAAAACAACUUCCUUAUGGUCACACUGCCAGUCAGUGCCUGGUGGGACCCAAGCUGGGCCCCAAUCCCCCAUGUCCCCCUUGGCACCUGUCCUGCUUUAGGGAAGAUGGUCUGUGGUCAAAGCUUAAUCUUUGCUUUGAUAAAGGAUUAAUUCAAAUUUUGGAAUGAAAAGAAGAGAUUUUGAAGCCCUAAAACUGUACUGUGUGACAAAACUCCUGUUCUUGGGAUAUGGUGGCAGAAGUAAGGGAAAGUGUCAGAAAAAGUCCCGCAAGGUGAGAAAAACUGAAAAAGAGACCCCUUUCCUAUAGAGGCUCACGAAGGGGAAAUUGCAACUGUGCGACCCUGUCUGCUAGCUUUCUCUGUCACUUCAUCCCCCAUUCCUGUUGCUGUGUGCACUUUUAUCCAACCCUCUUAAUGUCCAUGGCUGCGCUACCAGCAAAAUCUAACCCCAUCUGCUUGGCUAAGCUUCUUGCGCUCACCUAUACCUGAGGAGUACGACAUCAGGCUUCAGGGCUUAUUGAAGUCAUUACUCACAUCAUUGCACUAAUCACAAACAGAAGUGAAAGUUGUAAAUUGUAUAUAAUUACAUUUCAUAGAGAAAAAAGUAGAUUUAAAAAUGGCAAUUAAUAUUCUUAAUAGCCAAAAGUUAUUGCUAAUUAAUAAGAAAAACAUAAGCACUCCAAUUGAAAAAAAAUGAGCAAAGGUCAUAAAGACAUAAAACUCGCCUGUGGAAACAUACGUAGAGGAAACACAGAAUUAGUGAGUGUGUGUAUGGAAAUAAAUGGAAGGAUAAUGCUUGCUACCCAGUGUGGGCUUUGGGGGUAGAUCUACCUGGACUGAGUUCUGGAUUCACUAUUUACUAGCUCCAUGACCUUCAGCAAAGUAACCUCUCUAAGCCUUUGUUUUUAUCUGUAAAAUAGGGAUACUUAUUUUCCCUGCCUUGAGGGGUUAUUGUGAGGAUAAAAGAAAAUAAUUCUGUAAAGGGCUUAGUAAAGUGCCUGGUGCAGAGAAAUUUUUCAGUGCAGAUUAGCAAUUGUCACUGCUAGUAGUAUAUUUGCAUUGAUAACAAUUAGUAAUUUAACAUCUCACUGAAAUCAAAGAAAUGCAAUUAAAACAACAAAUACAUAUUAUUUGUUACUUAUCAGAUUGGAAAACAGGUGAAAAGAUUGACAGUAACCACUGUUGGUUAGAUGUGGAGAGAUGGGUUCUCUUGUGCAAUUCUGGGAUGGUAGGACCUGAUGCCCCAUUUCUGCAGGGCAAUUUGGCAAUAUACAUUAACGUUGAACAUUCUGAUAGUUUUUGACCCAGUCAUUCUUCUCUCAGAAACUUAUUCCUGGGAGAUAACUGAACAAAUGCACAAUAAUGAAUAUAUAAGAAUGUUUAUCCUGGCAUUUUUUUUUAUAGAAACAAAAAUUCAGAAGCAACUUAAACAUCCUUCAGUGAGAUUGACUAAUAAGUCCUGCUUCAUUUUUAUGACAGAAUGCUACUACUAAUAGCAGUGUUCUAGAUUUUCAUCCACCAUCAUGGAUAAAGCUCUCCGUCAUGUGGAUGGAAUCACUGCGGUAGGAGGAUUCCUGAGGCAUUACCUGGAUAGUCUCAUCUGGCUGGACAUGCAGGAGAACUGGGAGACUGCCGAGACUGCCACGUGGGUUUUGGAGGCUGAGAAGUCCAAGACUGAGGGGCUGGCAUCUGACGAGGGCCUUCUUGCUGCUUCAUUCCACGGCAAAAUGGCAAAGAGAAGAUGAGAAGAAAGGCUCAAAGGGACGGUGGGACUUGACUGAGGACCCAGCACCUCCUGGACCUGAAUCAAGGCCCUCUGUCCCGCUGCUUUUGUUGUUGUUUACCCUGCAACUUCACAGCCCUUCAGAAGGCCCUGGACAUCAUGUGCAAGCUCCGUGGAUGGCCUGAGAUUCAUCCUUCCAAGUUGUUUUCUGACUGAGAGGCAACAUUUUAAAUUGUGAUCCCCCCUUACCCCACCACACACACUGAAACAAAAGUUUCAAGAAGUCAUUACCACACAAUGACUCAGAUAUGUUCUAGUCUAGUCUGUCUAUUCCAUUCCAUUCCAGUCUCUUUCCAAACGAAAAUAAAAGGAAGGAAAUGCUGCAUGCGACUUGGUAAGUUAAUUUCAGGACACCUUGGGACUGCUUCCUGCUGCAUGAGGCAUCAGCACACAGCAGGGGAUAUUUUGCAUUCCUGUGUGCACCGUGGGUUAGACAGGCUGCUUGGCCCUAAGUGGAGAAUGGAACUCCAGUAGAAAGGCUGAGAUGCACUGCAAGUAACCACUGCAGAAAGGAGAGGAUGCCCACAGGCAGGCUGAAGUGGACCCGUGUGGAAGGAACACUUCAAGACCACUGGCCAAGAGACUUCCUUCAUUUUUAUCCCUUCCUGUUUUUCGCCUGUGCUGAGGAUUCACCACCAGUGUGGGGAGCCUCUGACUGUAAAAGGAAAGCUGACUCUGGCUCCUUCGUGUUUUCUGUUAAGUUGGGGCCUAAGUUUUUCUGCCAGCCUUUGCGGAGGAAAUGCAGCUUCCCUGGCACACUGCCCGGUCAAGGGACGUUGAAUCCAUUGCAAUCAGCAGUUGAAGAUCCACACUACAGGCCAUGUUCUUAAAAUAAGUGGCUCCAGGACUUCCAAGAGGCAGAAGGGGCUUCAGCUGGCCAUGGGCAGGAUCCAAGUGGAGCUUCAUCCCUGCAGAGCAAUGCCUGGCUCUCAGCGGAGGCAGUCUGGAGCAGGGCUUCUACCCUUUUCAGCUCAUAGAUUACUUUGGAAUCUGAUGAACACUGGGAGCCUUCUCCUUAGAAGAACAUACAUAUGCACGAGAAUGAGACAAUUACAUAACAUUCCUUGGGUUUCACAGAUGCUGAAGCCAAUGACUUGCUUGAAGCCUGGAAGAGGGUGUUGACCUGGAGAAUCCUAAAGGCCAAAAUUUAGAGAAAAUGGUGCCAGUAAAUGAAUUCACAAGGAGAAAUGCUUCCUUGCCAACUCACUUCUCCAGAUUAUUGAGUGCAUCUAUCUGUUUGCUUUUGGCUUCACGCAAUUGGCCCUCUUCAGUUCCGUACUCUUUCCUAAAUACCUUGCAAGUUUUCCUCUUCUCUCAUGCCAUUUAUAAUAUGCUGACGCCUGAUUAGAGGAAGGAAGGACUCAGCUGCACUUGCACUGGGGGAAGGGCCACUUACAGGAAGCCUACCUGGGGCUGAGCUGGGUCUCACUGCCUCCUAGACCUAAGGGCCCCAGCUUUUCCCUCAUCUCUUGUUGCAGCCACCACUUGUUCUAGAUCUGCAUCCAUAUCUGUAAAAUGGGGGUGAUAAUACCUUCCCAUAAAGUCACUGUGAGGAUUAAAUGUCCGGCACAAUAUUUGA